AAUCAACGCUGGCGGCGUGCCUAACACAUGCAAGUCGAACGCGAAAGCCCCGCAAGGGGUAAGUAGAGUGGCAAACGGGUGAGUAACACGUGGGUGACCUGCCUUCGAGUGGGGGAUAACGUCCCGAAAGGGACGCUAAUACCGCAUGACAUCCUGCUUUUGAAAAAGCGGAGAUCAAAGCUGGGGAUCGCAAGACCUAGCGCUUGAAGAGGGGCCCGCGCCUGAUUAGCUAGUUGGUGAGGUAACGGCUCACCAAGGCGACGAUCAGUAUCCGGCCUGAGAGGGCGGACGGACACGCUGGGACUGAGACACGGCCCAGACUCCUACGGGAGGCAGCAGUGGGGAAUUGUUCGCAAUGGGCGCAAGCCUGACGACGCAACGCCGCGUGGAGGACGAAGAUCUUCGGGUCGUAAACUCCUGUCGAGCGGGACGAACGCUUCGCGGAUGAAUAAUCCGCGGAAUUGACGGUACCGCUAAAGGAAGCCCCGGCUAACUCCGUG
Molecule: ribosomal RNA, 500 nt
Filed under: uncultured bacterium
Lineage: Bacteria
Description: partial 16S ribosomal RNA
Rfam family: Bacterial small subunit ribosomal RNA
Source: RNAcentral